ACAUAUAUUCUCAUUUUGAUGGGAUUCCUGUGGUAUUGGGUAUAGCGCGGGCGCAUCAGAAAGGUAGCCCAUGGAACACUACACCACAAACAUAAAUAAAUACACCACGAACACUUUAUUUUACCCCGUUAUUCACUAAAAGCUGAAUAAAAGUUGCUAGAAUACUAACCAGGUGAAUCAUUGGAACAUAAAGACCAAAGAAGAAAAUACACAGUAAACCAGCUAAAAGCAUAGCCCCUGCCAUUACACGGAGGGCACCUCGCCAGCCAAGACUAUCGACAAGAACUUGCAGUAUUGGACCGAUGAUAAGAACGCCUAUACUUGCACCAGAAGUCRUAACRCCYASCGCCAUUGGAAUUUUCUUUUGGAAAUAUUUUUUAAUGGAAAGAGUUUGUGAGUUGAUAAGACAGCWUCCAAAAAWRCCAAACGAAACGCCAUAGGAUAUGUAAAGAAUCCAAAAAUCUGAUGCAAAGGAGCUUAUGACGAUGGCUAUAGCUGAACAUAUCCCGCCAAACAUCCCUACUGGACGUUCUCCGAACCACGAGAUGACCUUUAUGGCUACUGGACCCAGGAGAAAGGAAAAACCAAUGGCCAAGGAGCCAAUCCAAGCUGAGUAAGGCAAUAGAAACUCAGUCAGGGCAAAAGAAUACCAAAGCUUAGCAGCAAACCAAAUAAGAUCAAAUUAUUGUAAAAGACCACGAAACAUAUCAACCAAGAAUAUGGGCUGUCUCUUUUAUAAGAAACAAAUAGAAGAAGGAAAAGAAGAAAAAACUGAGAAGAAAACAGUUGGAGAUUCGAACAUGAAAAUCUUGAAGGUGAAGAGGAGAUUGGUGCUUAAUAAACAUAAAUUUUUGACUUGUGGGAGCCACCAUGCACAAUCCAUAGCAGCUUUGUCGCUAAUGGAAAUAGUAAAACCACGUUCAUGCGACUUACUAUGAACCAAACCUUCAAAAAUUGAAAAUAUGAAAGUUUUGGUAGGUAGAUUAUUUACAAAGCCUUUUGUUGAAUGUAUUCAAUGGAACCGCUUAUAAUUUUAUCGAAGUAGUCAAACAACCUACGUGGGCUGAUCUAAGUCGAUCGGGGCAUAGCCGUUAACUCAUAGAUUGAACCAUGAUGAAACAACCUCUGGGCUGAUGUAAAUAAGGGUACAAGUAACUCACAGAUCAAACCCUGAAACAACAUCUGGGCUGAUCUAAGUCAGGGCAUGGCUAACUC
Long non-coding RNA from Actinia tenebrosa (Australian red waratah sea anemone), 1215 nucleotides. The record is from RefSeq and is a predicted model, not a curated record. Lineage: Eukaryota; Metazoa; Cnidaria; Anthozoa; Actiniaria; Actiniidae.